This 9378-nucleotide long non-coding RNA is filed under the name Olea europaea subsp. europaea. Lineage: Eukaryota; Viridiplantae; Streptophyta; Magnoliopsida; Lamiales; Oleaceae. The record is from RNAcentral.
UUUUCAUCAGACAGUUGCACACUUCAUGAGAUAAACAAUCACAUAAAAUUUUGUUUGGAAGAGACCAGAAAAACCAUAUGAUGACUGGAAAUAUGAGGGGAAGAGGAUGAAAGGGCAUGGUCGUAUGAUUUUCGUCACUUCGACUGCCUUCUUCUGGAGGAUUAUGUACGUUCUUUUUACUUUUUCCGCUGUUUUCCUUCCCCUUCGAUGAGUAAAACUAACUUCAUCACCAUUCUUUGUCUCCCUUUCUUUCUCCACGUCCGCCAUCCCCUUCUCUUACCCGAUUCUUAUGACUACCCACUGUAAUCCUCCCAAUUCCACGUAGCUCCGCCCAUGUUCACAAGUUCUAAGCACUGGAAGCAAAAAGAAAGCAACUCAUGCCCCCCUGAAACUAGGAUAUUUCCCGCCGGAGUGGGUAAAAGAGCAAUUUUUCAGGACCCGUCACUCCCAAUUCUUUGACUGUUUAUUUUUUUUUCUUUCAGAACCAAAGUUGGGAAUCGGGGUUUGUGUACUGAUAAUGUUGCAUUGCCUAAGUUUUACCCGUUGGAACUAUAGAUGUAAAAACUUGAGUCAGGAAUUCCACAGCAUUGGCAAAAAAGAUUUUCUAUUUGAUGCAAAUAAAUAUUUGAAGGAGUUGGCGAACUCCGGUCGAAUUGAUGAAGCUAGGAAAGUGUUUGAUGCAAUGCCUAAGAGAGACGAGUUUUCGUGGAAUACAAUGAUUUCUGGGUAUGCAAAUUUAGGAAGGUUUGUUGAAGCUAGGACACUCUUCGACGAGACUCCAAAAAUGAGUGCAAUUACUUGGGCAUCAUUUAUUUCUGGAUACUGUAAAAUGGGGUGUGAAAUUGAGAGUAUUGAACUGUUUUGGCAAAUGCUAUGCGAGGGGCACAAGCCCAGUAAGUUUGUGUUGGGAAAUGUGCUUAGGAUGUGCUCUAUUAAGCGUCUACUUUCAAGAGGUGAACAAACUCAUGGUUAUGCUGUUAAGACACAAUUUGAUAGGGAUGUCUUCAUUGUUACUGGGCUAAUUGACAUGUACGUGAAAUGUUGUCGUGUUCUUGAAGCUGAAUAUCUUUUUAAAAAGAUGGCUAGUGGGAAAAAUCAUGUUACAUGGACUGCUAUGAUUAAUGGUUAUUCGCUAAAUAGUGAUGCUGACAAAGCAAUUCAAUGCUUUAGGGGUAUGAGGUCUGAAGGGGUAGAGGCCAACCAGUAUACAUUCCCAGCAGUGUUGACAGCUUGUGGAUCUGUUUCUGAUCUUAUGUUUGGGGUGCAGGUGCAUAGUUGUGUUGUUCAUGGUGGUUUUGGUGAUAAUGUGUUUGUUCAAAGUGCGUUGGUCAAUAUGUAUGCCAAGUGUGGGGACUUGAGAAGUGCCAGGAAAGCAUUAGAGUCAAGGGAGGUUGUUGAUGUGAUUUCAUGGAAUGCCAUGAUAGUUGGGUGUGUGAGACAGGGUUCCUCAGAGGAUGCAUUGUCAUUAUUUCGUACAAUGCAUGCAAAACGUAUGGAAUUUGAUGAGUUCACAUACCCCUCCAUCCUCAAUGCUCUUGCUUCCAAGAAAGAUGUAAUAAAUGGGAAAUCCGUCCACUCUUUGAUCUUCAAAACUGGAUUUGAGAAUUACAAACUUGUAAGCAAUGCUCUAGUCGAUAUGUAUGCUAAGCAGAAUGACUUAGAUAGCGCUUCUAAGGUGUUCAAUUUUCUGGAGGAAAAGGAUGUUGUUUCCUGGACCUCCCUUGUCACUGGUUGUGCUCACAAUGGCCGCCAUGAAGAAGCUUUGAAGUUUUUUUGUGAAAUGAGAACCGAUGGGAUUAAUCCUGACCAAAUUGUCACUGCCAGCAUUUUGAGUUCCUGCGCAGAGUUGGCAUUGUUAGAUUUCGGGCUACAAGUUCAUGCAAAUUUCAUUAAGUCAGAACUUGGAACGUCCUUAUCAGUUGAUAAUUCUCUUAUAACAAUGUAUGCAAAUUGUGGGUGCCUGGAACAUGUCAAUAAAAUUUUUGCCUCAAUGCAAAUUCGAAACGUGAUCACUUGGACAGCUCUUAUAGUUGGUUACGCGCAAAAUGGUAAAGGAAUGGAGUCUCUCCGAUUCUAUGAUGAAAUGAUAGCUUGUGGGACUAAACCUGACUAUAUUACUUUUAUAGGCUUACUAUUUUCUUGCAGCCAUGCAGGUCUCGUUGAACUUGGUCGCUAUUACUUUGCGUCCAUGGUAAAAGAUUAUGGCAUAAGGCCUGGUCCUGAUCACUAUGCCUGUAUGAUCGAUCUUUUGGGUCGAUCAGGGAAAAUGCAUGAGGCACAAAGUUUACUGGAAGAAAUGGAUAUCAAACCUGAUGCAACUGUUUGGAAAGCAUUGCUUGCUGCAUGUAGAGUACAUAGGAAUGUUAAUCUGGCAAAGAGAGCGGCAACUGCUCUCUUUGAAUUGGAACCUCGAGAUGCUGUCCCUUAUGUCAUGUUAUCAAAUAUAUAUUCUGCAACGGGAAAUUGGGAAGAAGCUGCUGCAGUUAGAAGAUUGAUGAAAUCAAGAGGCAUCAGCAAGGAACCUGGACGUAGUUGGAUGGAAGUAAACAGCAAAGUGCACACCUUUGUGUCUGAAGAUAGAAAUCAUCCAAACGCAGACGAGAUUUACUUGAAGCUUGAUGAUAUUGUAAAGUUGAUUAAGGAAGCGGGUUAUGUGCCUGACAUGAAUUUCGCUCUUCAUGACAUUAAUGAAGAGGGCAAGGAACAUGGUCUCGCCUAUCACAGUGAGAAAUUGGCAGUUGCUUUUGGGCUUCUCUGCGUGCCACAAGGAGCACCGAUUCGGAUAUAUAAGAACCUUCGGGUCUGUGGUGACUGCCAUACUUCCAUGAAGUUCAUAUCAGAUAUUUUUCAAUGCCAUAUUAUUUUAAGGGAUUCAAAUUGUUUUCAUCAUUUUAAAGAAGGAAUGUGUUCUUGUGGGGAUUACUGGUAGGAAGUGCAUCCUCUUACUUGUUCGAUCUGAAUCUCCCUUUAAGAAGCAUGAGGUUUGAUAAGCUAUUCUGUGUGAUUAGAUGGUCGAUAACGGUGUCAAUGUUUGUGAUAGCCACGUUUUCAUCAAACCAUCACCAGGAUAGAUCUGAAGUGGAAUUUGGAGUGGUUUACUUACCCCGGUGUGGACCACCUACAUCCUAAUAUUGUUCUUCUCGUGGCUGGUUGUGCUCUUCGUUGUUGGUUGUUCCCUUGGCUUGGCAUGGACCAUUGUUCAUCUCUCACAUUUCCUUCAACGUUCUAAAUUAUUGUUGAUUUAGUGAUUAUAUUUAUUUGUGAUGGUAAGGAGCAGAAAUAUUGUUUAUAUUUUUUCUACCUGUUAGGGUUUGGUUUAAUUAAUUUUGUCUGUGCUGGAAGGUUCGUUGUGUUUUUGAGCAAGGAUAGACUGGUUUAUGGAUCUGACUUUGAUGAUUUUUAUGUUUAAUGUGUAUCGUCCAAGGAUAAUGAUUUCCCAGCUGAGAAUUAAGUAAAAAAAUUAACUGGUUAUAUAAUAGUUGUUGUUCUUAUGGAAUCAAAGAUUAAAUUGAACAUUUACAUACCACUUUUUAUCAGUGAUAACUACAAAAAAAAAAAAAAAAAUUGUUUUUGAUGUUUAAUGGGGGUAUGGUCCAAGGAGAAAGAUUUACCUGCUUAGAAUUAAUUAGAAAACCAUUUAGGUAAUAAUUGUGAUUCUUUGUGGAAUCUAUUUGAUAAAAUUUUUAAUGCCAAUAUGGUGUUCAGAGAAUAAUUUACUAGCUGAGAAUUAAGCAGAAAAAUUAACCAUUUAUGCAAUCAUUGUGGUUCUUGUGGAAUCUAUGAUUUGAUUAAACUUCAGACAACUUUUUUACAGUGUUGAAUAUGUUUUAGAGCUCUAUAGCUUAUGUAUGAGUUAAUCAAGGAACCUCUCUGUGGUCAUGGAUGUUAGUGGAAUUUUGCAACUACUCAACCACAGGGUUCAGUGAAUUGUGUCCAUGAGGGCAUACAAACUACUUUAUCAGCAUGAUCUAACAUAUUAUUAUGUGAUCCCUUGCUUAUGGGCCCCAAUUAGUUCCUUUAUUGAUUUCAUCCUAAACAAACUUUUACAGACAGUGUACUUUCUCUAGGUCUUUGUACCUGCUAGGAUAGAGCUUGUAUUUUGUAUGUAAAUGUGCUGAAUUUUCUUAUAUGUGGUCUAGGUUGCUUAUCAAUGCUUUCACUGGUAGAAGGGAACAACAUUUUCAGAUGAUCAGGGCAUCUACAAUAUGUUGACUUGAUGGGAGCAAAUAGACAAUUGCAAGCAGCUUACUCGCAUCAGGAAGUUUUUGACAGUCAUACCCAUGGUGCUGUUAGUAUUCUCCCAAUCUUGAUUAUAUGUUUGCUCCUCAUUAGUUAUUAAAUCGACUUUUAUCUUAUAAAUAGCUAUUGAUUUUGAAAUGGCAUGGUUGUUGUUGAUAUUGAGUCCUUCAAACAUUGUUAUACAGUUUUGCAAUAGGCCUUUUUCUGGUAAGGUGUGAAAUGAUAAUGCCAUCCAAAUACUUAUCUAGCAUAGACAAUGGAUAUUGCAUUAGCCGAUGGAGAUAUAUUUAGACAAAAAGCAAUAUGUCCAUGACUCAGUGCUUCUUAUCCUUUCAUAUAUCAGCCUCCAUGUCCAUUCAAAAUAGUUGAUGUCAUUAGUGAAUUUUCCAGUAUGCAUUGCAACUGUUAGUGUAUUAAACUUCCAUUAGGUAAAGCCAUAAAAAUGACCAAAUUGGAUAAGCUCCUCCUAAGCUCAACCCAAAAUGGCCCCACAAGCAUGAUACAAGAGUACAUACUGUGUGUUGUAUGAGAAAUACAUGUUAUUUAUUUAUUUAUUUUAUUACGUGAAUGUGAUCUUUCCAUAAUAAAGUAAAAGACUGUUCUUGCUCCUAAGUUUAUUGCUCCAUUAACGCUAUUUGAUCGAUCAAGAUAGCUUUUUUAGUUUGUAGCUUGCUUGCUCUGUGCUUGUGCUAAGGAGUAGAGAACAGUCCUUUACCCUUUUCAUAUCAUUAUAUAAGCAUAUAAAUAGAAUUCAUUGAUGCACUGACAUUGUAAACAAGAUCUAUUCAUUGUUAGUAUGGAAAACAAAUAUAAAUAAAUCAAUAACAUUGCAUUCAUUAACUUUUUUGGUCUAAGACUGUUAUUGAGGAUUUUAGAUAUGUAGAAGAGGUAAAUCUUGAAUAUUGUUGCAAAUUGCAAUUGCAAUUGCUUGUCUUAUCGCACUGCCAAAUGAGAAAGGACAUGUUGCCAAAGAUGGCACCACCACCACCACCAUCAUAGGUGGUGCAGCAGUUAACCACCAUAUCACUACAGGAUUCUUGAAGGCACUAUCUCUUUGUAGCCUUCAUCUGAUCCAUGAUGAAAGGUUGAAUUAUGCUUGUUUGGUUGCAUUGUUGUCAAGUUUGUUCAUGAAGUUGAUGGUAUUUGAUAGAUUGCAGACCGACCUGUGAGGGAAGGGCAAAUGUAUGUGCCGGUUGAUUAGAAAGGAUUUAGGUUAGGAGUUCUGUUAGCAUUUUGUUGAACUAUAUAGCUAGGAACCAGGAUACCAGGGUAGAAUCCUUGCUUCUAGUCCCUCUAUCUUAGAUUUAAGACGUCAUUUUCCAUUUUAUAAGCUAAUGAAAUGCACUAAACACUCAAAUCUUUUCUGUUGCAAUCAACCUCUCAUCUUGGAUGCCAUUCCUUGCAAACCAAAUGGGCCUUAAGUAUUGUUUGAUUAGCAAACGAAUGGAUGUAUAGCUUCACAAGUUUUCCUUCUAACCAGAACUUCCGAUGAGGCUUCUUUAUAGAGCUGUUCAUUAUUUGGCAAUAAUAUGUGUUGGAAAUCAAGAAGAUAUUUGACAGUAAUUACCAAGAUUGAUUAGCUGUAAAUUAGAAGGUAAUUUGUCAAUCAUUGUAAAUUUGGAAUGUAUAUUUAUUAGGUAAACUAAUUAGUUGUUAUUUUCCUUGUUUAGGCAUUAUUUCCCUAAUUUUUAUUUCCUGUAAUUCCUAGGAAUGGGUAAGUCAGAAAUUAUUCAAUUCAAUAGAAAAGAAUCAAUUCCAAAUUAUUCUCUCAGUUUUUUAUGGUAUUAGAACCAGCAACUGCAUAUCAACUCCUUCUUGUUCUCCUCUAUUCUGCCUUUCUUUUUCCAGUAUCCUAGUUUUUUGCCUCGGUUGUAGCACCAUGUCUGAUGCUUCAAUUAAAUCUGUCGUUGUCGCACCAUCCUCAUCUGUUACAAACCUAUCAAAAGGUAGUGGAAUCCACUCUGAGUCUCACUCUGUUCAAAUCACCACUAUUCACUUGAUUGGUGAUAAUUUUUUGCAUUGGUCUCAAUUGGUUUGCAUGUACAUCCGAGGGCGUGGGAAUAUGGACCAUUUGACUGGUAAAAAAAAGGCCCCCUGCAGAAGAUGAUCCGGUCUAUGUGACUUGGGAUGCUGAAAAUUCGAUGGUCAUGACAUGGCUUGUUAAUUCUAUGGAAGAAGAUAUUAGUUCUAACUAUAUGUGCUAUCCAACGGCACAAGAGCUUUGGGAGAAUGUGAACCAGAUGUAUUCAAGGAGAGGACCCUCAAACUUGGUGAAAUGCGUCAAGGAGAGGACGCUGUCACAAGUAUUUCAACUCUCUGAGACAGGUGUGGCAAGAUCUUGAUCUUUUCAAUACCUAUGAAUGGAAAUCUGUGGAAGAUAGCAAGCAUCACAAGGAAAUUGUCGAGGACAAUCAAAUUUUUAAAUUCCUUGUUGGCCUCAAUAUUGAAUUUGAUGAAGGGGGAGAAUCAUUAGAAGAUAGCCCCUUCCUUCAAUUGGUGAUGUCUUUUUGGAGGUAAGGAGAGAAGAGAGUCGAAGGAAUGUGAUGCUUGGCAAGAAAGGACCUAGUGCUGUUGUUGAAACUUCUGCCUUGUGGCUGCAUAGUGUAAGAAUUAUUGAUUUUUAGAUUCGAUGCCCCUCAUUGUGAGGUUUCCUCCUAUUAAAUAGAAAGAAUCUAAGUAAUUACAAAGGCUAAGUACAUAACUCACACCUAACUAUCUGCUAUUUACUACAUGACACAUGCCUGCCUAUUUAUUAUUGCAUAAUUCAUGCCUAACUAUUUGCAAUCUACUGAUUGACAUCCCCCUUCAAAUUGAUGCUGGUUGAUCAAGAAGCAUCAAUUUGCUCACAAGAAAUCGAUGAUGCUGUCAAGUCAUGGCCUUUGUAAAAAUGUCAGCUACCUGGAGGGCACAUGAGGGAAAGAAAUGACAUAAGUAUCCAAGGCUUCCCGAAUAGAAUGACAAUUCACCUCAAUGUGCUUCGUACGCUCAUGGUAAACCGGAUUAGAAGCAAUUUGAAUAGCACUCGUGUUAUCAGCAUGAAGGGGAGUAGGAGUAGAUUGUGGAAAACCAAUCUCAGCUAAAAGGCUACAAAGCCAAAUACUUUCGGAGCAUGCAGUAGAUAUCGUACGAUAUUCAGAUUCAGUAGAUGAUUUAGAAACACGAGCCUGUUUCUUACUCUUCCAGAAGAUUGGAGAAUCACCCAAAACAUGCACCAACCAGUGAUGCACCUUCGGGUGUCUGGACAUCCGGCCCAAUCUGCAUCACUAUAAGCAGUAAGACGAAAUGGAGUUCCUGCAGGAAAAGUUAAACCACGGCUAGGUGUGCCUCGAAGGUAUCAAAUGAUAAGACGAACAACAGCCAAAUGAAGAUGGCAUGGAGUUUGCAUGAACUGGCUAAUCUGCUGGACGCAAACACAAUAUCCAGUCGAGUAAUAGCUAGAUAAUUUAAACUACCCACAAGUUGACGAUACAUAGUGGGAUCGAAUAGAAGAUCACCUUCCUCAUUGCGAUACUUUGUAUUGACUUCCAUAGGAGUAUCUAAAGAAGAUGGCUGUAAUACUUUAAUUAAUUAAAAAGAAAAGUCAAACUAAAAAAAAAUAUUAAAAAGAAAAAGAAAAAGAAAAGCCCAAACAAAACCCAUUCCCAAUGUGUGUGUGUGUGUGUGUGUGUAUAUAUAUAUAAUUCAAAUCCAUAACACACACUACACACACCAAGAAAGCUCUUGAGCAGGAAGAGAAAGAGAAAGGAAAAAAAGGGAAAAAUAUAUAUAUAUAUGAAAAGAGGAAGAGAAGAAAGGAAAAAAUAGAAAAAAUUCGUCAACGUGUUAGAAAUUAAGUGUUCUAUAGUAUUAGGCUUGAAUUCCUCAAUUUUGAAAGGUAAUUAAAAAGUUACUUAUUGAAAGGUUAUGUAUGAUUUUAUAGUUGUUAGAUUGUUAAAUUAAAUUCAAUUUUAUUAAAAGGGUUAAGUUUAAUAAACUAGAAAAUUGAGUAAAAUGAAAGAAAAAUUAGUUUUAGUAAUAAAGAGACUUUAGAAAUUGCCUAAACGUAAAAUAAUUAAGUUUUUGUAUCGCCUAUUUAAUUAUUAAAAUUACUUAAAAUAGUUAAUUGUUGAUUUAAAAAUUAUAUUAUAUUUCAGGCUGCGAUACGGAUAUCGGGACAGUUUACUGACCGAGUUGAUUUUGGCGUAUAUAGUUUUGUGAGUGGAAAAAUAUAAAUAUUUUUAAAAUAUUUAUAAAUUAAGUACAUUAGUAAAGCAUGUGCAAUUAUGCGUUCGAUUUUAUGAUUAUUACAGAAAUAUAUUUUAUUAUGCUACAUUGGGAUUUCAAAUAUUGUACAUAGUACAUUGUGAAUUGGAAUAUGAGAUAUGAUAUUGAGAUCGACUAGAAAAAUACCCAUAAUUAUAUAUUUCUUCUAGCUCACAGAGGAGCUUUGGCCGUGUUCUAUGCUACACGGAGGGUUUUGACCUGACAUUAGUCUUGAUCGUGUACAUAUAGUUCACAGAGGGGCCUUGGUCGUGUUCUAGAAUUAAUUAUGAGAGGUCUUGAGACCGGCUUUUUGUUCACGGAGAGGAACAAAGGCCCGUGGCGAAAGUUCUUAGCCCGAGGGACGGAUUAUAUAUUUCAGUCAGAGGGUACAUUUUUGGUGAAUUUUUCAGCAAUUUUGAAGUGAUGAGAUUAUAGCAUGGUUAUCAGCUGAUAUUCAUAUCAUGUUUUUAAGAUAAUAUUUUAUGAACUUAUGUGAAUAUUUCACUUUUUGGCUAUAAUUACAUGAUGGAAGCUUGUGAAUUAUCAAAUGAUAUAAAUUUGAUUUUCAAUCAAAAUGUAUAAAUGAACAAUUAUAUUUGUUUUGAAUUUCUCCACUUACUGAGCUAUCAACUCAUGUAUUUUUCCACGUUUUUCCUUAUCAGGCAGCAGUUGAGAAUCUGGGCAUCUUUUGGAGUUGAGUCUUGAUUUUGGAGUUAGAGCCACACGAUAGAGUUUGUUAGUAUGACUCACUUCAUAGAACACGUAGUCAGUGUUUUGGGACGUAUGUUCAUGUCUAGAUGUGAUUUUGCAUCACUUGUAGAUAGUUAUGAGGCUCACUAUGUAUUUUGUAUCCAUGUGUACAUUUCAUUUUAUUUCUUGGUAAAAGUUGAGGUUUCG